UAAUCAUUUUGGAUAAUACAUGCGCAAAUAUCCUGUUUCGCAAGAAAGAGGAUAGUGUUUAUUAGAUACAGAACCAAUACACCAUCUGUUAACAGCAGGUGGUGUAAAAAAGGUGAUUCAUAGUACCCGACCGGAUCCCUUUUUGUUCUUUUUAUAGAUUGGCGAUAGAUCAUUCAAGUUUCUGACCUAUCAGCUUCGACGGUAGUGUAUG
Molecule: ribosomal RNA, 211 nt
Filed under: Sarcocystis cruzi
Lineage: Eukaryota; Apicomplexa; Conoidasida; Eucoccidiorida; Sarcocystidae
Description: partial small subunit ribosomal RNA
Source: RNAcentral